CAAAUUUGCGACCCCGAAUCACGCGCAGACACAAACGGAACCAAUACCCGAACAGGCCCGCCGUGAACUGAGACGGGACAGCGUAGAUCACACGCGGCCAGCAAGGGAGCGCAGGGGCGGGUGCCCUCACCGGGGAGCGGGGCCCUCGGGGGAGGAGGCGCGGCGGGCCAGCGGGGCCGCGAGCUCGCCGGAACCCUAGCUGGGUCCGGCGGCGGCGGCGGCGGCGAGGAAGCGCUUGGGCGGCGCGGGGUUUGAGGAGGAGACAGAGGAAGGGGCAGAGGGCAGGCAGUGGGGGAGUUGAGUUGUGGCGCUUGCGUUGCGCUUCGUGAUUAUCGUGGUGCGGGGAUUCCUUCUAGUCCAGUCCCGUCCAGUUGCUCGGUUUGCAUUGCCGCCUUUAUUAUACGGAGAAAGAAAGAGAGAGAGGGGAGUGGAAUAAAAAUGGGUGGAAGCAAUUCAAAGACCCAAGUACAUCGAGGCAGCUUGCCUGCCCAUAGGGGCCCAUGGGAGGGAACCGGCCCGCCCAGGGCCAGGGGCUCGUUCUU
Molecule: long non-coding RNA, 542 nt
Filed under: Hordeum vulgare
Lineage: Eukaryota; Viridiplantae; Streptophyta; Magnoliopsida; Poales; Poaceae
Description: long non-coding RNA (HVUL_LNC006527)
Source: RNAcentral